Molecule: long non-coding RNA, 1096 nt
Organism: Manacus vitellinus (golden-collared manakin)
Lineage: Eukaryota; Metazoa; Chordata; Aves; Passeriformes; Pipridae
Exons: 4
Source: RefSeq, a predicted model, not a curated record
GUCGCUCUGCCACCACAUCAUGGGCACCAGGGCACUGUCGCAUCCCAUCGUGAUCCUGCCAUGGGCUUCAGGGUGUGAAUACCCUUCCUGAGGCCUGGAGCAUACCCAGCUCCAGGCAGCCAUGGACUGUAGAGUUGAGGACUGUAUUGUGUUUGUAGGAAAGAAUUGUGCAGAUAUGUGAAUAUCUUCUGCUCUGCAGAAGCAUGCACAGGGGCUUUGUCUUUGAAGAGUGAAGGAGAUCAAAACCACCCUCAGAGGAUGUGCUGCCAUCAGACCAGCAGGCUUGCAGCUGUGGCUCAUUGGCAGCUGGCAGAGCUCUCAUCAGUGAUUUGAGCACUGGAAUACCUUCCCUGCAUGUCCUUCUAUUGCAAAACCAGGAGCAAGAACACUGAGAUGAACCAUUUGUUCAUGAAAGCUGCCAGCAGAGGAUGUGGCUGAUGAACUGUGAGGGCUGGGAAGAGAUGUCUCCAGGGAGCAGGGCCCGGGCAGUGCUGUGUCCUUUCUGCACACGAGAAGGUCCAGACGAGUCGACUCUCAGUGAGACCCAUUACAUCCAGCGCCCCUGAUCAAACCAAAGCCCAUAGCUCUGCAUUGCUUUUGCUAAUACUAUAAUCAUCCAUUGCAGGCUUUUCUUACAUAACUAGCAAGUCUAUGUUGACUACAGGCUUUGCAGCUUGAAUUCACUCAUGCUUCCUAUUUUUUUAGCUUCUGUUGGAGUUUCACAGCUCACCUAACCUGCAAGGGCCACGAACAAAGUAAGUGAAUAUGCACCACUUGCUGGCAGAACAAACAAUCCUCUCAGACAACAGGAUUGUUAUUAAAACGGGUUGUUUUGUUGGCAGAAUAGGCUUUCCCUGUUGCCAGGGGUUGCCCAAGGUGAGCCUGACCUCUGUGGUCUCUGAAGCUCUCUCUUGUGGGUGAGCUGAGCAAUGCUGGAAUGCAGCAUUUAAGAUGGAUUAACUGCGAACUUAACACAGGAAACAGUUCAGAGAGAGUAAAAGUAUUACACUGCAGAACUAAGGAUGAAACAUAACUUUUGAUCCCAUAGGACACGAGUUCCAAGGCUGAGAACAUGAUUAUUUGAUAAGAGUCACAG